This 635-nucleotide ribosomal RNA is filed under the name uncultured bacterium. RNAcentral's name for it is "bacterial SSU rRNA". It matches the Rfam family "Bacterial small subunit ribosomal RNA", at positions 8 to 694 of the family's 1533-position model. The record is from RNAcentral.
AGAGUUUGAUCCUGGCUCAGAACGAACGCUGGCGGCAGGCCUAACACAUGCAAGUCGAGCGCCCGCAAGGGAGCGGCAGACGGGUGAGUAACGCGUGGGAACGUGCCCUUUGGUUCGGAAUAUUCCCGGGAAACUGGGAGCAAAACCGGAUAAGCCCUUCGGGGGAAAGUUUACGCCAAAGGAUCGGCCCGCGUUAGAUUAGGUAGUUGGUGGGGUAACGGCCUACCAAGCCUACGAUCUAUAGCUGAUCUGAGAGGAUGAUCAGCCACACUGGGACUGAGACACGGCCCAGACUCCUACGGGAGGCAGCAGUGGGGAAUCUUGGACAAUGGGCGCAAGCCUGAUCCAGCCAUGCCGCGUGGAUGACUGAAGGCCCUAGGGUUGUAAAGUCCUUUCGACGGGGACGAUAAUGACGGUACCCGUAGAAGAAGCCCCGGCUAACUUCGUGCCAGCAGCCGCGGUAAUACGAAGGGGGCUAGCGUUGUUCGGAUUUACUGGGCGUAAAGGGCGCGUAGGCGGAUUUUUAAGUCGGGGGUGAAAUCCCGGAGCUCAACUCCGGAACUGCCUUCGAUACUGAAAGUCUGGAGCACGAUAGAGGUGAGUGGAAUUCCGAGUGUAGCGGUGAAAUGCGUAGA